This is a long non-coding RNA of Bufo bufo (common toad), 125 nucleotides long. RefSeq lists it as uncharacterized. The transcript has 4 exons. Lineage: Eukaryota; Metazoa; Chordata; Amphibia; Anura; Bufonidae. The record is from RefSeq and is a predicted model, not a curated record.
CAGCUCCAAAUGUUUGUUUCUCCUAGACCUUUGGAGCCCACGAUGGUAUCAGCCUGAGCCCACUGGAGGAUCCUCUGGUACACUAGUGGGCCAGUCCGACGCUGCAAAUGUGUGAGGAACAGGUC